RNAcentral lists this ribosomal RNA (490 nucleotides) under uncultured bacterium. Its description in RNAcentral is "partial 16S ribosomal RNA". It matches the Rfam family "Bacterial small subunit ribosomal RNA", at positions 28 to 507 of the family's 1533-position model. The record is from RNAcentral.
GAUGAACGCUAGCUACAGGCUUAACACAUGCAAGUCGAGGGGCAGCAUGGUCUUAGCUUGCUAAGGCCGAUGGCGACCGGCGCACGGGUGAGUAACACGUAUCCAACCUGCCGUCUACUCUUGGACAGCCUUCUGAAAGGAAGAUUAAUACAAGAUGGCAUCAUGAGUUCACAUGUUCACAUGAUUAAAGGUAUUCCGGUAGACGAUGGGGAUGCGUUCCAUUAGAUAGUAGGCGGGGUAACGGCCCACCUAGUCUUCGAUGGAUAGGGGUUCUGAGAGGAAGGUCCCCCACAUUGGAACUGAGACACGGCCCAAACUCCUACGGGAGGCAGCAGUGAGGAAUAUUGGUCAAUGGGCGAGAGCCUGAACCAGCCAAGUAGCGUGAAGGAUGACUGCCCUAUGGGUUGUAAACUUCUUUUAUAAAGGAAUAAAGUCGGGUAUGUAUACCCGUUUGCAUGUACUUUAUGAAUAAGGAUCGGCUAACUCCGUG